CCUACGGGUGGCUGCAGUGGGGAAUAUUGGACAAUGGGGGGAACCCUGAUCCAGCCAUGCCGCGUGUGUGAAGAAGGCCCUCGGGUUGUAAAGCACUUUCAGUGAGGAAGAACGCCUGGUGGUUAAUACCCAUCAGGAAAGACAUCACUCACAGAAGAAGCACCGGCUAACUCCGUGUCAGCAGCCGCGGUAAUACGGAGGGUGCGAGCGUUAAUCGGAAUUACUGGGCGUAAAGCGCGCGUAGGUGGCUUGAUAAGCCGGUUGUGAAAGCCCCGGGCUCAACCUGGGAACGGCAUCCGGAACUGUCAAGCUAGAGUGCAGGAGAGGAAGGUAGAAUUCCCGGUGUAGCGGUGAAAUGCGUAGAGAUCGGGAGGAAUACCAGUGGCGAAGGCGGCCUUCUGGACUGACACUGACACUGAGGUGCGAAAGCGUGGGUAGCAAACAGGAUUAGAUACCCUAGUAGUC
RNAcentral lists this ribosomal RNA (465 nucleotides) under Vreelandella stevensii. RNAcentral's name for it is "partial 16S ribosomal RNA". It matches the Rfam family "Bacterial small subunit ribosomal RNA", at positions 338 to 795 of the family's 1533-position model. Lineage: Bacteria; Pseudomonadati; Pseudomonadota; Gammaproteobacteria; Oceanospirillales; Halomonadaceae. The record is from RNAcentral.